GACGAAGGGGGCUAGCGUUGUUCGGAAUUACUGGGCGUAAAGCGCACGUAGGCGGCUAUUCAAGUCGGGGGUGAAAGCCCGGGGCUCAACCCCGGAACUGCCCUCGAAACUAGAUAGCUAGAAUCUUGGAGAGGCGAGUGGAAUUCCGAGUGUAGAGGUGAAAUUCGUAGAUAUUCGGAAGAACACCAGUGGCGAAGGCGACUCGCUGGACAAGUAUUGACGCUGAGGUGCGAAAGCGUGGGGAGCAAACAGG
RNAcentral lists this ribosomal RNA (253 nucleotides) under uncultured bacterium. RNAcentral describes it as "partial 16S ribosomal RNA". It matches the Rfam family "Bacterial small subunit ribosomal RNA", at positions 524 to 776 of the family's 1533-position model. The record is from RNAcentral.